Molecule: non-coding RNA, 373 nt
Organism: Camellia sinensis
Lineage: Eukaryota; Viridiplantae; Streptophyta; Magnoliopsida; Ericales; Theaceae
Source: RefSeq, a predicted model, not a curated record
UGGUAUGAAGAGAUCUGAGGUGUAAGGAAUAUAAAAAAAGUCGCACUUUUUAUUGGGGUUUUUCUCAGAAAAUGCCUUUCAAAGUAUUUUCUCGGGAAAAUUAGCAGGUCGCACUUUUUCACUGCAGUGUUCUGGUCUUGGACUUACUGGGUCAAUGGGAUACCAGCUCGCAAGUUUGAUAGCGGUAACCAAUUUUUAUAUAAGCAAUAAUAAUCUUGGAAACCAGAUACCUUAUCAGCUUCCUCCAAAUUGCACGCAACUAAACCUUGCUGGAAAUGGCUUCACUGGUGGCAUCCCUUAUUCAAUAUCUUAGAUGACUUCCCUAAAAUACCUGUUAGUCAAGCAUCCGAAAUUUGAUUUUUAUUGUUCAUGU